UCCUCUAUAGUACAGCGGUUAGUAUAUCCGCCUUUCAUCGAAUGCCUGUAAUGGUGUGCUAUGUAGCGCGGGAGAUCGGGGUUCGAUUCCCCGUGGGGGAA
This 101-nucleotide transfer RNA is filed under the name Kwoniella mangroviensis CBS 8507. Its description in RNAcentral is "tRNA-Glu". It matches the Rfam family "tRNA". From Rfam's summary of the family: Transfer RNA (tRNA) molecules are approximately 80 nucleotides in length. Lineage: Eukaryota; Fungi; Basidiomycota; Tremellomycetes; Tremellales; Cryptococcaceae. The record is from RNAcentral. RNAcentral also lists the same sequence under 2 other names.